Molecule: long non-coding RNA, 708 nt
Filed under: Hordeum vulgare
Lineage: Eukaryota; Viridiplantae; Streptophyta; Magnoliopsida; Poales; Poaceae
Description: long non-coding RNA (HVUL_LNC014759)
Source: RNAcentral
GGAGAAGCAGGGCGGUGGGGAAAAGGGUGAGGAUUUUUUACUCCGCCAUUGAGCGGUGCAGUAAAUAUAGCCGCCGGAUACAUGGUGAAGGAAAAAAUAUCCUUCUUUAUGGGUUUUAGGGUUCGGUUAGAUCCCGGUUAGAGAGGGGAUCAGCUAGAAUUGGCCUUACCAGCAGACCCCGUUCACCAUCAAAGAAUGAAGCAUGUGUAGCACGAUAUUCAUUUCGUCCGUGACAAAGUUUGCGCUUGGCAAUCUUCUGUCUUACACGUUCCAACAGCCAACAAUUCACUGAUGAUAACCAAAUACCCAUGCGCAAUCUUCGUCCGCCAUAGAGCGGCACAGCAGCGUCUGAGUUAUUUUGUCGCCACAGCACUUCGUCCGCCAUAGAAUUGGCGCGACUUGUCUCCAUCCAUUACGAGAGUUGUUCCCACAAAAUCAUCAUGAAGCAAUACCCAACAAACAUAACAAAAGAUUUACUGCUGGAUUUUCGGAAACUCGCUCCUGAAUCAAAACUAAUAAUCUUAAGUGACUGUGGCAAGUACAUAGCUCCAUUCGUGCAUCGUACAGCUCAUGAUAACUGAUGAGUAAAAACCUUACUCUACCAACAAAAACCGUCGCCUUGAUCCGCAUGGUUUGCGAGAAACGGGUCCCCUUUUCUACAGGUGCUGCAAAAAAAAAAGAGAUGGGCUAGGCUCCCUUGGCUGAAAU